Molecule: ribosomal RNA, 286 nt
Filed under: uncultured Rickettsia sp.
Lineage: Bacteria; Pseudomonadati; Pseudomonadota; Alphaproteobacteria; Rickettsiales; Rickettsiaceae
Description: partial 16S ribosomal RNA
Rfam family: Bacterial small subunit ribosomal RNA
Source: RNAcentral
GAACGCUAUCGGUAUGCUUAACACAUGCAAGUCGAACGGACUAAUUGGGGCUUGCUCCAAUUAGUUAGUGGCAGACGGGUGAGUAACACGUGGGAAUCUACCCAUCAGUACGGAAUAACUUUUAGAAAUAAAAGCUAAUACCGUAUAUUCUCUACGGAGGAAAGAUUUAUCGCUAAUGGAUGAGCCCGCGUCAGAUUAGGUAGUUGGUGAGGUAACGGCUCACCAAGCCGACGAUCUGUAGCUGGUCUGAGAGGAUGAUCAGCCACACUGGGACUGAGACACGGCC